UUUUACUUAUAUGUAGUUCCAAAGCCAACACCAAUCCUCUCGGCAAGGAGAAAAUUCUUCCUCAUACUUAUACCAGUUUCUGCAAAAUUUUAGGGUGGUUGCCAACCUCAUCUUAUAUCAUAUCCCUAAUAUGCAAUAGCUAUAGAUUUAAGGUAAUACUUGUGGCUGUCAUUUGUGUUGAUUUUAACUAUCACUGGGGGAGUUUCAACUAGUCCUGACAUUCUUAAUUAGGCAUCUUCUUUCUAUCAGGACUUCACGAGUGCUAGUAUAUGUAGCAAGAGCUUGUGGAAAGAUAUCACCCCUCAAACCCAAGUUACACCCCAAUAGAAAGUAGACAUGUGGUAGGGUCUUGAUGUUUCUGUUCAUUUUGAUUUUGACAACAUGAUACCAUGCUCAACCCAUAUACACUCCAAUAUACAAUGGACAUAGGGUAAGGUCUCAAUGUUGUCUUCUGUUGUGAUUUUCACUCAUCCAGCAUGUGAGAAACAUUGUGCUUUAUUUAUCUAUUGCUAAAUUUUGAUUUUCUGCACUUGGUUAGAUUGCAUGUUGCAUUUGAAGUUUGAACUGAUGGCAACUCCUAGUGACUUCUGCAUCUUUCCGGUUGAAAUUAACAGUUCUGAAUGAAAGAGCUUGUAAUUGGGAUCUUGGAUGGCAACUCCUCUUUUGUGAAUAUAAUUUCUGGGUCAUAUCUUUUUAAUGGUAUUGAUUCUCACUAAUAAUUUAAGGCACUUCCAUAAGUUCUGAAGUGCAAAAUUUGGUCGUUUAAUCAUUUUAUUUUGGCUAAAUACGUGGUACACCUUAAACUUUGCACAAUUUGUCAGUUAGACGCUUUAACUUUGCAGUGAUCAUUUUGACACCUUUUCUUGGCAGAAGUGUCUCCUAAUCACCUCAACUUUCAUUUCAUUAUUUCCUUGGAAAAAGCUGAAAAGGAGAGAACUUUAGGCCACAUAAUCUAUGACAUAACCCCAAAGCUAGCAAAAUCAAGAAAUUCCCAAACAAGCAGCACUGUAACUACUAAACUACAGUAAGCAAUCACAUGCAUCUCAGACCUGCACGCACAAAUUAACUAAAAAAUAUAACAAAGCAUCCAAAAACUUCUAGAAUGCUAACAAAAACAACAACAUACCCAGUAAAAUCCCACUAAUUGGGGUCUGGGGAGAGUAGAGUGUACGCAAACCUUAAUCCUACACCGAAAGGGUAGAGGGGCUGUUUCCGGGAGACUCUUGGCUCAACAGAAAAGACAACAAUAUUAGGAAAGGAAACAAAGAAAAGGUCCGUAAAAACAAAAGAUGCCAGAAAGAUAAUAAGAGACUAGGUAAAUAGACAUCCAAGUGCAUCGAUGUGGAGGUUUGAUACUAUGAUGGAAGUGCUUAAGAGACUAGGUAAAUGUAAAAUCACAAGGAAGCAAGUUAUCUCAAAGGCUUUUGAAUAAGGAAAUAGAACAUGGAAGAAAAGGAGCCUUACAAAUAACAAUAAGUUGGGGUAAGGCUUGCUCAUUUUUGUUUCAUUUGGUCUCAUGUUUGCCUGGGAUCAUGUUUCAUGUUAGUUCAGUUUGGUUAGAUAUUUUCAUGUUAGUUUAGGAAUAAGCAUGAGAUUUGAAUAAUCUGGAGCUUUGAAUUUGUUUUAAAAGAUAAAUUAUUGAGUGUUUUGAAAGAAAUGAACCCGAAUAAAGGGGGCAUAUAUAGAGGAUUCAUACAACUGACUUUAACUAAUUGUGAUGAUGCAUAGUAUAUUGGUUGAUCUUGCCGUACAAAUAGCAACGCUGGGGCAAAUCUUUAAAUUUCUGAACCCGGCGGAUCAUAACAGGUAUAUAGUUGAAUAUCUUGAUAUCCACGUCUUCAGGCUACCAGUUGGUUCCUAUUCCACAAAUGUAGAAUGCACAUCCUUUCUUUGCUUGUGCUUAUCAUGAACCCGAAUAGAGGGGGCAUAUAUAGGGGAUUCAUACAACUGACUUUAACUAAUUGUGAUGAUGCAUAGUAUAUUGGUUGAUCUUGCCGUACAAAUAGCAACGCUGGGGCAAAUCUUUAAAUUUCUGAACCCGGCGGAUCAUAACAGGUAUAUAGUUGAAUAUCUUGAUAUCCACGUCUUCAGGCUACCAGUUGGUUCCUAUUCCACAAAUGUAGAAUGCACAUCCUUUCUUUGCUUGUGCUUAUCUUUCUCUUUGUAGUUUGUCUUUACUACAUCGAGUCUUGCUUUCAGAACUAUGUUGUUCUUGUUGUAUAUUGGCCUUAUUUUGCUGAAGAACAC
RNAcentral lists this long non-coding RNA (2247 nucleotides) under Nicotiana benthamiana. RNAcentral's name for it is "long non-coding RNA (NBEN_LNC012605)". The record is from RNAcentral. Lineage: Eukaryota; Viridiplantae; Streptophyta; Magnoliopsida; Solanales; Solanaceae.